RNAcentral lists this ribosomal RNA (253 nucleotides) under uncultured bacterium. RNAcentral's name for it is "partial 16S ribosomal RNA". It matches the Rfam family "Bacterial small subunit ribosomal RNA", at positions 524 to 776 of the family's 1533-position model. The record is from RNAcentral.
UACAGAGGGUGCGAGCGUUGUCCGGAAUCACUGGGCGUAAAGGGCGCGUAGGCGGCUUGAUAAGCGUGCGGUGAAAGCCCGGGGCUCAACCCCGGGUCGGCCGUGCGAACUGUCGAGCCGGAGCACUGUAGAGGCAGGUGGAAUUCCGGGUGUAGCGGUGGAAUGCGUAGAGAUCCGGAAGAACACCGGUGGCGAAGGCGGCCUGCUGGGCAGUGGCUGACGCUGAGGCGCGACAGCGUGGGGAGCAAACAGG